UCUUCAUUUUCCUUUGCUUUCCUUUCUACGAUGCUCAAAAUGCUACUACUGAUCCAUCUGAAGUGAGGGCAUUGAACUUGCUAUUAGGGGGAUGGGAUGCACAAGCUGUGGCACUAUGGAACNNNNNNNNNGGAUCUGCCAUUAAUGCUACAGAUUUUGAGGACGGAGACAACAAUCCAGCGAUCAAGUGUGAUUGUUCCUACAACAACAAUAAUACUUGCCAUAUCACCCAAUUGAGAGUUUAUGCUUUGCAAAAAAGGGGAACAAUCCCAGAAGUAAUUGUGGCUUUGAAAUAUUUGACUUUGCUGAAAAUUGAUCAAAAUUACUUCACAGGUCCCUUGCCUGCAUAUAUUGGAAAUUUAUCAUCAUUGAAGUCUUUGUCCAUCGCUCAUAAUGCAUUUUCUGGGAGCAUUCCAAAGGAAAUUGGAAAUCUUAAGGAGCUAACCUUACUGUCAAUAGGAGUAAAUAACUUCAGUGGAACACUCCCUCCAGAAAUAG
RNAcentral lists this unclassified non-coding RNA (498 nucleotides) under Hevea brasiliensis (rubber tree). The record is from RNAcentral. Lineage: Eukaryota; Viridiplantae; Streptophyta; Magnoliopsida; Malpighiales; Euphorbiaceae.